CCCUUAGAUGUUCUGGGCUGCACGCGCGCUACACUGACGCACGCAACAGGUGCCUGCUCCGAGAGGACUGGGUAAUCAUUUGAGUGUGCGUCGUGAUGGGGAUAGAAUAUUGUAAUUAUUACUCUUCAACGAGGAAUUCCUAGUAAGCGCCAGUCAGCAGCUUGCGCUGAUUACGUCCCUGCCCUUUGUACACACCGCCCGUCGCUCCUACCGAUGGGUGAUCCGGUGAAUGAUUCGGACUUCAGCGGCUCCCCUGGGGUGCGCCGGAGAAAGUUUUGUGAACCUUAUCACUUGGAGGAAGGAGAGGUCGUAACG
RNAcentral lists this ribosomal RNA (315 nucleotides) under uncultured eukaryote. RNAcentral describes it as "partial 18S ribosomal RNA". It matches the Rfam family "Eukaryotic small subunit ribosomal RNA", at positions 1470 to 1796 of the family's 1831-position model. The record is from RNAcentral.